Molecule: long non-coding RNA, 6985 nt
Filed under: Medicago truncatula (barrel medic)
Lineage: Eukaryota; Viridiplantae; Streptophyta; Magnoliopsida; Fabales; Fabaceae
Description: long non-coding RNA (MTRU_LNC002708)
Source: RNAcentral
AGAUCAUCAAUUUUUAACAUAGACCUAGCAUAAUUUUAGCAUUACCUAGCUCAAAUAUAACAUGAUUUUUAAGCAUCAAUCAAAUAACUUAGGUCUACCAUCAUUGACAGUAAACCGAAGAUGAUUUGGGUUUGAGGUUGUUAUUAUUGAGAAUUACUAUCAAGGUGUAACCACUUUCUAAUGUUUUAAGGUCUACUCACAUUUAUGCAAAUAGAAUACUCACUCAAUGUAUGUUCAUGUUUUUUCCUUGUGAAUCGAAUAGUUUAUCAGCCAAAUGGACAAGCACCGAUAUCUUCUACGGACAAGUCACUCACAAGCAAUGAUGUACAACAAUUCACGAAACCGAGACGGCUAAGCACAGAUGAAAUUCCUCAUAUUGUCAAUGAUUUCAGACUUGCUGCAAGAAAUGCUAUUGAAGCUGGUAAGUUUACAGGUUUUUACAAAUUUUGUCUAAAAUUGAAAAAUGCCAUAGUACAAUAUUGAUAUUUUUUCAGAAACAUGACUAUUUGUUGCUUUAAAGCACAAGGACAUUUUUCAAAUCUCCUAACAUAAUCAAUGUGGUGCAAAUUGAAGGUUUUGAUGGAGUUGAAAUCCAUGGAGCUCAUGGCUACCUACUUGAACAAUUCAUGAAAGAUAAAGUGAAUGACAGAACAGAUGAAUACGGUGGAUCCCUCGAGAAUCGUUGUCGAUUUCCUUUGGAAGUUGUUGAAGCAGUUGUGAAUGAGAUAGGAGCAGAUAAAGUUGGAAUUAGACUAUCACCUUUUGCAGAAUAUGCAGAAAGCGGAGACUCCAAUCCCAAUGAAUUGGGACUUCAUAUGGUUAAUGCCCUCAAUAAGUACAAUAUUCUUUACUGUCACAUGGUGGAACCAAGAAUAAAAUCAGCUUCUGAAACGAUUGAAAGCCCUUACAGUCUGGUGCCAAUGAGAAAGGCUUUCAAUGGCUCUUUCAUGGCUGCAGGAGGCUAUGACAGACAAGACGGGAUCGAUGCUAUAGCUGAAAACAAGGCAGAUCUUGUAGUUUAUGGUCGUUUGUUCUUAGCAAAUCCAGAUUUGCCAAAGAGAUUUGCACUUAAUGCUCCUCUCAACAAGUAUAAUAGGGAGACAUUCUACAUUUCUGAUCCGGUUGUUGGUUACACUGACUAUCCCUUUCUUGAAUGAAGAAAACAAUGUUGUAUUGCAGCAUCCAAGGGUGGACCUCCAUAUUAAUAAGUUGUUUUUCUUCUUAUACAUUGGUUUUGCAGUGAAUUUGGUCACUUAAUUAAGAAUUUUGUUAAUUAUAGACAUAGUUAUAUUUUUUAUUCAUUCUUCUCAUACUAGCUUCUCUGCUAGGACACACAGUGUGUAGAACCAUUAUGUACCUGAUUUUUGUAAUACCAUUUGAGCUUUGUGUUAAUGAAAAGGAUUGUUGUAGUAACCAAAUUUUUUUAAUUGCUAUGCUAUGGUAACUACCGUGAUACUAAGAAUUGACAUUGUUAUUGAUUUUGAAAAUAUCUGUAGUGAAUUUGAUUCCUGAUUUACUCGGUUGAACCACAAAAUCUUCAAAUCGAAGCCUAAUUCAAGUACUUUCAAGUAUUGUUUCAACUUGAGAUAUAAUUCAGGUACUACUGAUUGUUUCGGUUUGAUAAGAAUCUUAUCAAUGUCAUGGUAACACCGCUAAACGGUGGUUGAAGCUUCGCACCUAUGGCAUGGUAACAAAAAAUAAGAAAAAGAACAAUCAUGGAAGGUUUACGAUCCCUUUCUUCGAAGGGGAAAAUAUGAAAGACCUGUGCUAUUAUAAUUUGUUAUGAAAAAUUUUGGUUUUGACUGACUGUAGAAGAGUCGUGCCAUGUAGAAUUUUUACAUUUCUUGUCCAAGUCUAACGAUAAGAAUUUUUCAAUAUGAAAACGAUAUAUACCAGUAAUGAAAGGAAAGGUCAGCAAAAAGCAUAAAUGCUGAUACUACUUUCCAGUUUUUAUAGUAUAUAAAAACAUAUCCUCCAACUUCGUAUUCAAGUGUAUAAGAAAAGUGUAUAUUUUCCUCAUUAUAUAUCAGUAUCAGUUCAUAAUUGAUUAACUAAUCAAAUGGAAAUUAUGGUUGGUGAUCCCAUUCCUCUUCUUACUCCUUACAAGAUGGGCAAAUUCAAUCUAUCUCAUAGGUAUAUAAUAUGUUUUAAUUCCAUUUAUUAUGCUUGCUUCAAACAUAUAUAAAGUUGUUUAAAAUAUUCACUACUCAUCCUAUUCAUUUGAUUUUAGAGUAGUUUUGGCACCGUUGACCAGACAAAGAUCAUACAACAACAUUCCUCAACAGCAUGCUGUCCUAUAUUACUCUCAAAGGGCCUCUGAAGGUGGUCUUCUCAUAUCUGAAGCUACCGGGGUCUCUGAAACUGCUCAAGGGUAACUUGCAAUUAAUACAAACCAAUUUCAUAACUAUCUUUAACAAACUUCAACUAAUUAAUUCUAAUGUUAUAUAUGUGAAGGUCUUCAAACACACCUGGCAUAUGGACAAAAGAGCAAGUCGAAGCGUGGAAACCUAUCGUGGAUGCUGUUCAUGCCAAAGGUGCUACAUUCUUCGAUCAAAUUUGGCUUGUUGGUAGGGUUUCUAAUUCUGGUAUGCAUUUAGUUUAAUCAAAUUAGCAAUUAACUAACAAAUUUUUUGAUUUUUCAGUAUUUUUUUAGGUAGGAAUUGAAUUUUUGUUACAGAAUGAUAUUGAUUUAUGUUCACUAGUUUAAUUACAAAUUUACAUGUAUGUAUUCUACACAUUUAUUAUACACAUGUAAUAUUGUAUUCUCAUUUUCCAUAUAAUUCUAACCAGUUUAUCAACCAAAUGGACAAGCACCAAUAUCUUCUACAGACAAACUACUCACACCACGAAUUGGAGGCAAUGGUAUUGAAAUAUCACAAUUCACACCACCAAGGAGGCUAAGAUCAGAAGAAAUUCCUAAUAUUGUCAAUGACUUUAGACUUGCUGCAAGAAAUGCUAUUGAAGCUGGUAACUUCACCUAUCUUUACCAAUCUCUCCAAAAAUUCAAAAUGCUUCAAUAUAAGAGAGGCCGGAAUAACAACAUAAACUAAAUACGAAGAAAAAAAUCACAAAAUCCGAUGUCUCUAAGUUUUCAUCGUUAUUUUAACAUUUUAUAUCAGGAAGGCAUUUUGUGUACUAAUUAUGGUGCGCAUUGUAGUUUUGAUGGGGUUGAAAUUCGUGGGGCUACUGGAUACCUACUUGAGCAAUUCAUGAAAGAUAAAGUGAAUGACAGAACAGAUGAAUAUGGUGGAACUCUUGAAAACCGUUGUAAAUUUGUUUUGGAAAUUGUUGAAGCUGUUGUAAAUGAGAUUGGUGCCGAAAGAGUUGGAAUAAAACUAUCACCUUUUUCAGAUUUCGAAGAAUGUGGAGACUCAAAUCCGAAGGCAUUGGGGCUUUACAUGGUUAAUGCCCUCAAUAAAUAUGGUAUUCUGUAUUGUCAUAUGGUAGAAUGAAUAAGUAAUGAAACUAUUGAUGAUAAAACAAAAUGUCUUCACAACUUGGUGCCAGUGAGAAAGGCUUUCAAUGGCACUUUCAUGGUUACCGGAAGCUAUGAAAGACUAGACGGGAUCAAUGCUAUAGCUGAAAAUAGGGUAGAUCUUGUUGCUUACGACCGUUUAUUCAUAGCUAAUCCAGAUUUGCCAAAGAGAUUUGCACUUAAUGCUCCCCUAAACAAGUAUAAUAUGGAGACAUUCUGCACUUCUGAUCCAGUUCUUGGUUAUACCGACUACCCUUUUCUUGAAUGAAUAAACAUAUGUUGUACUUGUAGCAUGUAAGGGUGGCCACAUUUUUGCAAUAAAGUUGGUAAUUGAAUGUUUGAAUUGAUGGUGGAUUUUCAGAAUCAUAAUGAAUAAUCGUGAUUCAGAUAAAAACUACACUUUUUAAUAUCAACUAAAUCACGGUGUUGUCACAAUUUGACCUAACUCACCGCACAUUUCAACAUGCAUUUGGCCCUUAUAUAGCCUUUUACACACUUUCUUACACUACAAGUAAACUUCUAAUUGCAAUGAAUCCUAAUAAAAUCCUCCCCUAAACUGAAUACUGCUAUAGCAGAUCAGUUUACACAAGCAACAACAAAUCAAUCUAGGAGGAUUCACGUAGUGGUAAAAAGAAACAUAGAAUAUGUUCUUACUGUGAGGAAAAAUGAUUGUACAUUCAUUGAAAUGUGAAAUACAAAGAAUGAUACUUAUUUAUAGUAAAGUAUCUAAGUAAUUAGAGUUGUCUUGCAUUGCAAGUAACCUCUACUAAACAAGCCCUAAUUACACUAAAACAUUAUUGAAACUUAAGCACAAAAUAUAAACCUUCUAACACUUACAUCACAUGAGUCAAAUUGGACUGCUAAUUAAGGUCAAAGGCAAGAAUGCAACGUAACAGCAAACGUUAGCAAGAGCCAAGAAGCAUAAAGGCCCACAACCUCUUUCAUAGCCAUAUUAUUUCAACAUCAAAAUAAGUGCAGUACUAUACUAGGGUUCACACUUCAACCUUACACACAUAAUACAAUGUCCUAUCAAUUGAUUUAAGUUCAUGUAUCAAAAAACUAACACUUUACAUGUUUAUUUUUAUUUCUCUCUUGCUUUUUAUCUUUAAAUUUUUACACAUAUUUUAAAAUAUACUCGACACAAUCCUGUAUUUGAUAACAAUAUUUUUAUACUCAAUCAUUUUUCGUCAAGUUUUAGUAUAAUAUAUUUCAUUUACUUUGGUUACUUCAAAGUUCAAACAUAUAAAAUUGUUUAAAAUAUCCACUAACCCUGUGUGUCUAUGUCUAAUAAUAUAUUAAUUUUAAUUUUAGAGUACUUUUGGCACCAUUGACCAGACAAAAAUAGUAAUAGUACAACAACGUUCCUAAAAAACAUGACAUCCUCUAUUACUCUCAAAGGUCCUUUAAAGUCGGUCUUCUCAUAGCAGAAGCAGCCGGGGUCUCUGAAACUUGCUAACAACACUCUUCAAUUUCUUUAUUCCUCUUCAUGCUUUGAUCAAGACAAAGAUUAGUCUUAUAAGCCAAUUCCAUCGCUUUCAUACCUUAAAACUCAAAUCCAUCGCUUUCAUAUAGCCGGCUAAAUUGUUUUUAAUUACGCAAUCACGUUACCAAGAUGAAGCACAAACGUGGAGAUUUGACUUUUCACAACUUACUUAUCAAUAAGACAAAAAAGAAUAUCCACUUCCGGAACAUAUCAUAUAAAGUAAGUAGUGAUGUUCAAAAUGAAACAAACCCAAUAUAAAAAUUGCAAAUCAAACUAAUCUAAAUCGAAAUUGCAAAAAACUGCAUUUGAUUUGGAUGUAUUUUGAUCACUUUCUUACUUAACUACAUGGUUUGGUUUGGUUUGGAUUUUAUUUCAAAAGUCAAUCGGACCAAACCAAACCGCAUGUUUUUUUAUCUUAUGUUUGGAUGAUUUUUAUUCUCAAAGCCGAACCAAACCAAACCGCGAACCGCUGGUAUAAAUAUAGAUCCACCAAACGAACUCCCUUCAACUUGAACCGCAUAUUUUUCAUCAAAAGAGGGAGAAAAAAAAUUGAACUUCAUAUUUUGCCUUUUGAACUGUUAGUGAUCAUUGUAAUUUAUUUAAAUGGGUAUCAAAAUGGAAGGUACUAACAUCACUGAUCCAAUUCCUCUUCUUACACAUUACAAGAUGGGCAAAUUCAAUCUAGCUCAUAGGUACAUAGUAUUUCUCUUGCUAUUAGAAUUCAUUUCAAUGUUUUUCUCUUGCUAAAUAAUUUCACAUAAUUUCAGAGUUGUUUUGGCACCGCUAACAAGAAUGAGAUCAUACAACAAUGUUCCUCAAACCAUUGCUGUCGAGUAUUAUUCUCAGAGAACCUCUAAAGGAGGCCUUCUCAUAGCUGAAGCUACUGGUGUCUCAGACACUGCUCAAGGCUAUCCAAACACGCCAGGUAUAUGGACUAAAGAGCAUGUUGAGGCGUGGAAACCUAUUGUAAAUGCGGUUCAUGAUAAAGGCGGUAUAUUUUUCUGUCAAAUUUGGCAUGCUGGAAGGGUUUCAAAUUCAGGUAUGUAUCUAUUUCGUCAUAUCAUUAUUUAUUAUGUAAAUAAAUGUGACCGGAAGGUCUAACCAUCUGUGUCAACCUCAAUUGGCUAAGAUCAUCAAUUUUUAACAUAGACCUAGCAUAAUUUUAGCAUUACCUAGCUCAAAUAUAACAUGCUCAAAGGCGGUAUAUUUUUCUGUCAAAUUUGGCAUGUUGGAAGAGUUUCAAAUUCAGCUAUUUAUUUAUUUGCUCUAAUCAUUAGUAUUUUUUUUUUCCUUUGAUAAAAAUAAAAUUUUGAUUAGGUGACACACUUCCAAUUCAAAACUGGUGUGAACGGAAUGUUUAACUAUAUGUGCCUACACCAAUUGGUUCAAAUCAUCAGCUUUUAUUUAACAUAGACCUAUUAUGAGUUUAACAGGCCGUGUGUUAUUUUUUCUAGUCAUUUUUUUUGUCAAAAAUACAAAAUUUGAAGCAAUUUGUUGAAGAAAGUAGUAAUGGAAAAUAGAAUACUCACUCACUGUAUGUUCAUGUUCCUUCCUUGUUAACCCAACAGUUUAUCAGCCGAAUGGACAAGCACCGAUAUCUUCUACAAACAAGUCACUCACAAGCGAUGAUGUACAACAAUUCACGAAACCGAAACCGAGAACAAUUGCACUUUUGGACCCCUAUCUUUCCAAAAGUUGCGGUUAUGGACCCUUAACUAAUUUAAAUACAAAACAGCCCCCUAUGUUUUGAUUCUUUGGCAGUUUUAGACCAGAUAUAUGGCUGCUUCUUCGAUGACCAAGAUAUAGCACCUGAACCAAACAUGAAGACAUAGCCUGAAGUAGAUCUCCUCCAUAGUCAGAAUUUGACCAUCCCUAAUUAAGUACUCUCUUAGUUGCAACUAAUUGUAUUUCAGUUGGUCUAUAUAUAGAUAUAUAGCUAUCAGAAACAUUGAGAAUGUGAGAUCAGACAUAGUAUAAAUUAAAUACAUUAGGCACCCCACCAUCUGCUUAUACUUUGUUGUGUCCAC